UAAUACCGGCUGCUCGAGUGAUGGCCACUAUUACUGGGUUUAAGGCGUCCGUAGGCUUGAUUGAUUAAGUCUCUUGGGAAAUCUUACGCUUAACGUUAAGGCGUCUAAGAGAUACCGUCAGUCUUGGAACUGGGAGAGGUAAACCGGAAUUCGCGGGUAGGAGUGAAAUCUUGUUAUCCUCGAGGGACGACCUAUGGCGAAAGCAGUUUACCAGAACAGCUUCGACAGUGAGGGACGAAAGCUGGGGGAGCAAACGGGAUUAGAUACCCCGGUAGUCCCAGCCGUAAACAAUGUGCGUUAGGUGUAUCGGUAACCACGCGUUACUGAUGCGCCGCAGAGAAAUCGUGAAACGCACCACCUGGGAAGUACGGUCGCAAGGCUGAAACUUAAAGG
This 393-nucleotide ribosomal RNA is filed under the name uncultured Methanocorpusculum sp. RNAcentral's name for it is "bacterial SSU rRNA". It matches the Rfam family "Archaeal small subunit ribosomal RNA", at positions 471 to 862 of the family's 1478-position model. The record is from RNAcentral. Lineage: Archaea; Methanobacteriati; Methanobacteriota; Methanomicrobia; Methanomicrobiales; Methanocorpusculaceae.